Camellia sinensis is the source of this 2201-nucleotide non-coding RNA. NCBI's taxonomy places the organism in Eukaryota, Viridiplantae, Streptophyta, Magnoliopsida, Ericales, Theaceae. The record is from RefSeq and is a predicted model, not a curated record.
CUCUCUCUCUCUGCCACACACACAUAUCAUACGAGGAAGCUCUAGUUUGACUCAUUCCUUUCUUAUACGCGUACAGGUAUGUACUUCCAUAUCUAUUAGUGUAUAUCUCUCAAUUUCUUAUUCAAUACAUUAUAGUAAGCAGUACAUUAUUGUUUCUAACUUGGAAUCAAGAUUUCAUUGAUUAUCAGCAAGUUUGAAUUUGUUGUGUCAAGAACUGGUAAAUUUGAAUUUGGAAGCUAAAAGUCCUAGUAUUGAAUUUGCUUGAUUUAUAUGUGAUAUUAAAUUAGUUCGUUGAUCAUGCUAAUUGGAUUUUUCUAGUUGAUUGUUCUAUUACCAUUGACAUUGACAUGAAUCAUUAUCACCUGGUAUAAGUGUAUUCAUCAUUGCUUUUGCUGUUGGAACUUUUGCUUGUUGGAUGUUGUAGAUGUCUUUGGUGAUUUCUAUGAUCAUAUUUUUUUGUAUAUGUUUGGAGAAAAGAGGGAGGGUGGAAGGAAAACUAACUAAUUUAUUUGGUCCAAUCAAGAAACAUAUAACAAAUUCUAGAUUCUUACAAUUCCUUUUACAUAGUUGAUGUGAAUUUUCAUGUCUAGAAGGUGAGAAGUUUGUGCUUACCUAAAAAUAGAACUGUUAGAAGUCCAUGUGUGCAAAUUGUUCUUAUUGAAAAUUUUAUAAGCACUCAAAUCUAAAGAUGGUAACAAGUAUGUAGAAUUGCAUAAUUGAAUUGGUUGUAAACAUGAUAAUUUAAACAUACUAAAUGAAUCAUUUGCUUGUUUGCUUUGUUUACUAUAUAUAUAGAUGGGCUUAAAGCAAUUUUCUAUCAUCCUAGUGCUCAAUAAAUAAAUAAAUAAAUAAAUUUGUGUUGCUCUUUGCAUUUUACUUAUUUCUUGAUUUUUUCUUAAGGAAAAUUGUUUCCAGAAAUUUAACCUAAUUUGGGGAGAAGAGAUACCUAUUUACUCUAGGAAUUUAACCUAAUUUGGAUUGCCUAAAACCAAUGUUUGGAACAAAUGUUUAAUAAGUACUGAUUUGUGCUUUGGAUAGAUGAUUGAUAAUAAGGGAUUUACGCUACUUGAGCCUUGAUUUUUUAAGUAGUUCUGAUUGCAAGUAUAUAUUGGAGAUCAAUCAUGCUUGAUCCUACUUAGUAUUUCAUAUAAUUUAAAAAAUAAAUGUUAUAUUUCGAUACUUCACCAUUGUUAUUCUGUUGUUUGGAUUAAUCUUUUGUAGAAUGGGAGUUUGGCUCUUCAUUAUUAAAUUAAAUGCUCUUCAAAAGAGCCAAUUUUUAGAAUGAAGAGUAAAUUUUUGUCUAUUUUGUAUAGUUGGUUUCAGAGGCAGAUAAUCCAUCUUUAAACCGAUUUUUAUAUUUUGCAAGGACUUUUGAAUAAGUUUUCGAUGUAUAGUUGUCUUAGAUUUUCUUUUGUAUGCGGAUUGCACCUACUUGGUGCCUUUUAAAUAUGUUUUCUACAUAAAAUAAAAUUUAUUUUGGUGGUCAACAUCUUUUAAUGGUUAUCAUCUAGUGAUUUGCUUCUGUAUAGGUUUUGGUCUUCAUGGAUGUUGGACAAUUAACUUUUGUAAUGUUUUGCAGGCAGUACAGAAGCUGAUUGAUGAAAAGUUUCAAGGAAUAAUACACCUGCGCAUUUCAACAUUGCAUAAGAAGAUUGCAUCUGAUCGCCAAGAUUCUGUCAAACUUUCAGAUUCUGAAAACAAGUUGGAGGCAUUGUUGCAGAUCCAAAAUCAUCCGGUGAUCCCAAGUUUGUGAAGGCAUAUGAACUAAGUUCAGAGGAAUCAGAAGAUGUUCUUUUCAAGCAGACCAUUCAUGUUUCACCUCCUUGCAAAACCAUGAGGGAGAAAGAGGAGAGUAGGAAGAGAUUGAAUUCAACAAGUGAAUAGCUUGAAAUUUAGAGGAGAUUGGAGAGGAUUUGGAAGAUUGAGCUACCACACUUGGAAAUUCAAGACUCAAGGUAGGAAUCUACCUUUUUAAUUGUGAAUUGAAGUUGUUUAAUGCAUGGAUUCAUGGAAAUCAGGGACUAAAGUCAAGAAAUAGCUUAAAGAGUGGAUUUGAGAAUUAAUUCAUGCAUGCAUGGCCAUAUCAUAGAAUUUUGAAGUUGUUUUCAUAAAAUUUCCACAUGCAUGUUCAUAUUAUGGUUGUACUCUAGAAAUUCACCAUGUUUUUGAGUUGAAUCUUGUAUUUGAUCAUACUUUGAAGU